AGUUGCAUUGCGGUAGGAAGGCGACCAGUCGCCACCCGUCAAACUACCUUUCUUUCCCGGGGAAUAUCAUUAGUAAGCCAAUCCAAACACUCUUAAAAUGUAUUUUCCUUUUUAAGAAGAGUCUAGUGUAGUUUGCAACUGAACAGUCUCUCCGAGCAACUGAUCGUACUGAGCCAUGUCUUACAUUCCACCACACAAGAGGCAUAACAAAGGUUCGCCGUCGUCGGAACCAACUCCGGCACCGGAAUCACUGAUACCUGCCUUCAGAAAAAACCUGAAUUUCAAGAGAAAGGAUAAGUUUCUGUUCGAGAUCCGCUGUGCUCAUGGUGCGGUUAGGAAAUGGUUCCCUGUUGGUUUGACUGAUGAUUCUCACUUUUCAUCUCUUGUGAAGCUCCAACCUCUUUCUAUCGACCGAAAAUCUGACGAAAAUCCUCUUCGUUUGGUCCUAAUGCAAGUCGCAGUGAAGGAACAAAUGAGCUUAUGGAUGAGCCAUGGCGUUUGGUGGCUAAAAGUGUGAUGGAGGACUUACUGUUGUCAUUUCAACAUGUGAAAUGUGAAAUGGAGGAAGCUAAGAUGGAAGAAUUAAAGCCGGGUCUAAGUUGCUCGUUUUGGAAGAAUUAUCUUUCAUGGGAUUUCUGCAAAUAGUCAAGAAUCCCUGAAAAGUAACCCAUUGGGUGAAACUAAGUUGAGCCAAAUGAGAAAAGCUUUCUAUACGAGCGUUCCUCUUUCAUAUAUGGUAUAUAUGCAAAACCUUGCACUUGAAAAACUUGGCUUAGAAUAUGUGGAGGAGAAGGAAUUAUACUAUGUCAAGCUUUCAGACAACAUGUGAGCUGAUUCAACUGUCACCUGCAAAUGUACGGUGGUCAUGGAUCAGGAGAAAAUUCAUCUCCAUAAGAUUGAGCUGAACCUAGUGCAACAUGGUUGCAGACAUGAGCUGUCUUGGCAAAAGUUUAGACCUGAGGUUGAUGUUAAAUACCAAGAAAAUCAUGAUGGGUUUAUCUGUAAGUUACUUCAUUGAGGAUCAAAUAUCUUGAAAGUCAUAGGUCGUAUACUCAUACUUUUAAGUUCCACCCAAUAUUUGAUAUUUUCUGAACUGGAAACAUGUCCAUUCAGUUACUCUUGGGUGAACUUUCUUGUUUUUUCAUGUUUCAUGGAUUUGGGGGACGGUUCGAUGUUUGUGAACAGCAAAUUGAAUAGCCUAUUGGGCUGACCAGUAGGGUUAAAAUGCUCAAAUACUGCGCGUUAUUGGAGUCCUCGAGUAACUGGAUUGAGCUAGAUAUGAAUCAUUUCUACGAUGAAAUCCAAAGGAGGAUCUUCAACUGGUGAGGUUGCACAGGAAUCUAACCUGAAAAUGUCUGGGAUUUUAUCCCAAUUGCAGGAGCAAACGAUUGACGAAAACCUGGUGCUUAAAAUGCUUGAAGACAACUUGAAGUUAAUCUGGGAUCACUGUUUGCAUGAUGGUUCUUCAAGCUGACCAUAUUUUAUGGUCCUUCACUUUCUCUUUGCAAAAUAUCUGCAGAAACUGCUAGACUCACAAGCUAUGUUCGGUUGGUGAAGAAAGUUACCUUUUGUAGUUUGCAGUGGUGGAAUAUAUAGAUGUAGAUAACUGAAUUUUUAAACUCAAAAUGUUGAAUGCUGUUUGCACUAUAUAGUUUUGUGUAUGGAAUGAAAUGAACCAAGGCCUCUAAUGUUAGUGGCAUCAGUAAGGAACACUAGAUAAGAUUGUAAAUAGUUCUGUUUUGUAAGGAACACUAGAUAAGCCUUGCUUUGAAUCUUUCAACACUGCCAUUAGCUUUGUGUUUGA
RNA transcript from Solanum tuberosum (potato), 1804 nucleotides. RefSeq lists it as uncharacterized. NCBI's taxonomy places the organism in Eukaryota, Viridiplantae, Streptophyta, Magnoliopsida, Solanales, Solanaceae. The record is from RefSeq and is a predicted model, not a curated record. The transcript has 7 exons.